AUUGAACGCUGGCGGCAUGCUUUACACAUGCAAGUCGAACGGUAACAGGCCGCAAGGUGCUGACGAGUGGCGAACGGGUGAGUAAUGCAUCGGAACGUGCCCAGUCGUGGGGGAUAACUACUCGAAAGAGUAGCUAAUACCGCAUACGAUCUAUGGAUGAAAGCGGGGGACCGUAAGGCCUCGCGCGAUUGGAGCGGCCGAUGUCAGAUUAGGUAGUUGGUGGGGUAAAGGCUCACCAAGCCAACGAUCUGUAGCUGGUCUGAGAGGACGACCAGCCACACUGGGACUGAGACACGGCCCAGACUCCUACGGGAGGCAGCAGUGGGGAAUUUUGGACAAUGGGCGCAAGCCUGAUCCAGCAAUGCCGCGUGCAGGAAGAAGGCCUUCGGGUUGUAAACUACUUUUGUACGGAACGAAACGGCUCUGGUUAAUACCCGGGGCUAAUGACGGUACCGUAAGAAUAAGCACCGGCUAACUACGUG
This 482-nucleotide ribosomal RNA is filed under the name uncultured bacterium. RNAcentral's name for it is "partial 16S ribosomal RNA". It matches the Rfam family "Bacterial small subunit ribosomal RNA", at positions 30 to 507 of the family's 1533-position model. The record is from RNAcentral.